UCCUAAGGCUAAAUACUCUCUAGUGACCGAUAGUGAACCAGUACCGUGAGGGAAAGGUGAAAAGCACCCCGGAAGGGGAGUGAAAUAGAACCUGAAACCGUGUGCUUACAAGUAGUCAGAGCCCGUUAAUGGGUGAUGGCGUGCCUUUUGUAGAAUGAACCGGCGAGUUACGAUUUGAUGCAAGGUUAAGCAGUAAAUGUGGAGCCGUAGCGAAAGCGAGUCUGAAUAGGGCGUUUAGUAUUUGGUCGUAGACCCGAAACCAGGUGAUCUACCCUUGGUCAGGUUGAAGUUCAGGUAACACUGAAUGGAGGACCGAACCGACUUACGUUGAAAAGUGAGCGGAUGAACUGAGGGUAGCGGAGAAAUUCCAAUCGAACCUGGAGAUAGCUGGUUCUCUCCGAAAUAGCUUUAGGGCUAGCCUCAAGUGAUGAUUAUUGGAGGUAGAGCACUGUUUGGACGAGGGGCCCCUCUCGGGUUACCGAAUUCAGACAAACUCCGAAUGCCAAUUAAUUUAACUUGGGAGUCAGAACAUGGGUGAUAAGGUCCGUGUUCGAAAGGGAAACAGCCCAGACCACCAGCUAAGGUCCCAAAAUAUAUGUUAAGUGGAAAAGGAUGUGGCGUUGCCCAGACAACUAGGAUGUUGGCUUAGAAGCAGCCAUCAUUUAAAGAGUGCGUAAUAGCUCACUAGUCGAGUGACACUGCGCCGAAAAUGUACCGGGGCUAAACAUAUUACCGAAGCUGUGGAUUGUCCUUUGGACAAUGGUAGGAGAGCGUUCUAAGGGCGUUGAAGCAUGAUCGUAAGGACAUGUGGAGCGCUUAGAAGUGAGAAUGCCGGUGUGAGUAGCGAAAGACGGGUGAGAAUCCCGUCCACCGAUUGACU
Molecule: ribosomal RNA, 880 nt
Filed under: Staphylococcus aureus
Lineage: Bacteria; Bacillati; Bacillota; Bacilli; Caryophanales; Staphylococcaceae
Description: partial 23S ribosomal RNA
Rfam family: Bacterial large subunit ribosomal RNA
Source: RNAcentral